RNAcentral lists this ribosomal RNA (302 nucleotides) under uncultured soil bacterium. RNAcentral's name for it is "bacterial SSU rRNA". It matches the Rfam family "Bacterial small subunit ribosomal RNA", at positions 26 to 329 of the family's 1533-position model. The record is from RNAcentral.
AGAUUGAACGCUGGCGGCAGGCCUAACACAUGCAAGUCGAGCGGCAGCACGGGUACUUGUACCUGGUGGCGAGCGGCGGACGGGUGAGUAAUGCCUAGGAAUCUGCCUGAUAGUGGGGGAUAACGUUCGGAAACGGACGCUAAUACCGCAUACGUCCUACGGGAGAAAGUGGGGGAUCUUCGGACCUCACGCUAUCAGAUGAGCCUAGGUCGGAUUAGCUAGUUGGUAGGUAAGGCCUACCAAGGCUACGAUCCGUAACUGGUCUGAGAGGAUGAUCAGUCACACUGGAACUGAGACCACGG